AUGGCCCUAACUGAAGACCGGCAGUUAGUUAUACUGUAGCUGUCGGUUUCAAGCAGAGGCCUAAAGGACUGUCUUCCUAUGGUCUGUUGGCUGUUCUGGAAACUCAGCAGGGAAUGGCUGUUUCAUUUGGAAGAAACAACA
Molecule: small nucleolar RNA, 141 nt
Filed under: Carlito syrichta (Philippine tarsier)
Lineage: Eukaryota; Metazoa; Chordata; Mammalia; Primates; Tarsiidae
Source: RNAcentral